GGAGCCAUAGCUCAGCUGGGAGAGCGCUACGCUGGCAGCGUAGAGGUCAGGGGUUCGAGCCCCCUUGGCUCCA
This 73-nucleotide transfer RNA is filed under the name Bacillus velezensis. RNAcentral's name for it is "tRNA-Ala". It matches the Rfam family "tRNA". Rfam says of the family: Transfer RNA (tRNA) molecules are approximately 80 nucleotides in length. Their secondary structure includes four short double-helical elements and three loops (D, anti-codon, and T loops). Lineage: Bacteria; Bacillati; Bacillota; Bacilli; Caryophanales; Bacillaceae. The record is from RNAcentral.